GUCCUUGCCGUAAACGAUGUAUACUUGAUGUAGUCUAGGCUCAACCCUUACUGUGUCGAAGCUAACGCGAUAAGUAUACCGCCUGAGGAGUACGCUCGCAAGGGUGAAACUCAAAAGAAUUGACGGGGGCCCCGCACAAGCAGUGGAGCAUGUGGUUUAAUUCGAUGCAACGCGAAUAACCUUACCCAGGCUCGAAAUGUAGGUGGCGAUAUCAGAGAUGAUAUUUUCCGUAAGGACGCCUAUAUAGGUGCUGCAUGGCUGUCGU
Molecule: ribosomal RNA, 265 nt
Filed under: uncultured bacterium
Lineage: Bacteria
Description: partial 16S ribosomal RNA
Rfam family: Bacterial small subunit ribosomal RNA
Source: RNAcentral